RNAcentral lists this ribosomal RNA (548 nucleotides) under Herbaspirillum rhizosphaerae. RNAcentral describes it as "bacterial SSU rRNA". It matches the Rfam family "Bacterial small subunit ribosomal RNA", at positions 798 to 1351 of the family's 1533-position model. Lineage: Bacteria; Pseudomonadati; Pseudomonadota; Betaproteobacteria; Burkholderiales; Oxalobacteraceae. The record is from RNAcentral.
CGCCCUAAACGAUGUCUACUAGUUGUCGGGUCUUAAUUGACUUGGUAACGCAGCUAACGCGUGAAGUAGACCGCCUGGGGAGUACGGUCGCAAGAUUAAAACUCAAAGGAAUUGACGGGGACCCGCACAAGCGGUGGAUGAUGUGGAUUAAUUCGAUGCAACGCGAAAAACCUUACCUACCCUUGACAUGUACGGAAGGCCGAAGAGAUUUGGCUGUGCUCGAAAGAGAACCGUAACACAGGUGCUGCAUGGCUGUCGUCAGCUCGUGUCGUGAGAUGUUGGGUUAAGUCCCGCAACGAGCGCAACCCUUGUCAUUAGUUGCUACGAAAGGGCACUCUAAUGAGACUGCCGGUGACAAACCGGAGGAAGGUGGGGAUGACGUCAAGUCCUCAUGGCCCUUAUGGGUAGGGCUUCACACGUCAUACAAUGGUACAUACAGAGGGCCGCCAACCCGCGAGGGGGAGCUAAUCCCAGAAAGUGUAUCGUAGUCCGGAUUGUAGUCUGCAACUCGACUACAUGAAGUUGGAAUCGCUAGUAAUCGCGGAUCA